RNAcentral lists this long non-coding RNA (918 nucleotides) under Brassica rapa (field mustard). Its description in RNAcentral is "long non-coding RNA (BRAP_LNC000647)". Lineage: Eukaryota; Viridiplantae; Streptophyta; Magnoliopsida; Brassicales; Brassicaceae. The record is from RNAcentral.
CGCCACAUAUAAUUCCAGUAUCUUUCUUUUUUUCUUUUUUUACUAGUUUUUAUACUAUGAGGAAGUAGCAAGUCCCGCUUUUCACCAAUUUAGAAAAUUUGGAAAAAAAAGAGGAGAAGAAGAUAUUGGAACUCAUGUGGUCGAGACUUACGUAAGUCUCGCCAAAUGUGAUUCAAGUAUCUUUCUUCUCUUCUUUUUUUUAGUAUUUAUAAUAUUUUCGUCGUAAUAUCGUCGUUAGUUUACGAUUCGUUUACGACGAUUUUGGCUUACGUGGAAUUAGCGUGCCCCGCUUUCUAUAUUUUUUUAAUUUCGUCGUAAACUCCUUGUGGCCUUACGACAACCUUACGACGAUUUUGGCUUACGUGUAAUUAGCGUGCCCCGCUUUAUUUAUUUAUUUUUUAAAUUUCGUCGUAAACUCCUCGUGACCUUACGACAACCUUACGACGAUUUUGGCUUACGUGGAAUUAGCGUGCCCCGCGUUAUUUAUUUUACUUUUCGUCGUAAGUUCCACGCUAUGUUACGAGGAAUUAACGAGUACUAUGUUUAAAUCCCUAAAAUCUGAAACCCCAAACCCCAUCUUCCUUAUCUUCUACUUCAUAUAUUCCAAACCCCAAACCCAUCUACCCUUGAACCUCAAUCUAUUCUUUCACCUCAAACCUUAUUUAUAAUAUAUUCCAAACCCCAAACCACAAGUCCUUAUUCAUAAUAAAAAUAAACUCCCACAUUAUCUUAUUCAUAAAACAAACUACAUAAAAUCAAAUACAUCAAUCGGAUACAUCGACAUUCUCGUCAUCACUAGAAAUAUCAUCAUUUUCAUUAAACUCGUCUUCUACAGCUUCGUCUGUGGCAUCAUCGGUAAGAUCUUCGUAUUCGUGAUUAUGCGGAUCAAUGAGAAGGAUGUCAUCAAUUUCUUGUUCA